This is a long non-coding RNA of Syngnathus typhle (broad-nosed pipefish), 656 nucleotides long. RefSeq lists it as uncharacterized. NCBI's taxonomy places the organism in Eukaryota, Metazoa, Chordata, Actinopteri, Syngnathiformes, Syngnathidae. The record is from RefSeq and is a predicted model, not a curated record. The transcript is spliced from 2 exons.
UCUGGCUGCUCCUUCGCGGAGCUCCCAGAUGACAUCAGGAGGUCCCCGAUGAACUGGUGCAUCUCCAUCCAAUUGCUAUGGUCAAGCUGGAUGGUGCAGCACGGAAUGAAAUGAGUGACACUAACUAGCUUCUUGCUAUGACCACCGACACAUCGCUAUCAUCAGAAUCGCUCUCCACCGGUUGCUGUUUGGGCGUUUUUUUGCCACCACCUUCCACGGGGGUCUCCACACCACCAGCCUUUUGUCCACUUUGUGAUAAUUGGAGCUGUUGACCUGGUGAUGCCUGGAGAAUAGUACCUGCCUGGAGUUCAGGUGAAGUACAGGCCUGCUUGGAUGACUGCCCUUUUACCAGCGGGCUUCCUCUCGGCGGGUCAGGGGUCGUCAAAGCUGGAGAGGGGCAUGGUGACUGCGAGUCGUCACAUGACGUGGAGAGGCUUUCCUGACGCUGGAGGAUGUCGGGAAAGCCUAAUUCUGUUAGUUGGAUGUCAAUUGUGUACUGUACGGACAUUGUGGCAGCCGGGGUUUAAUUUGGUGGAAAAUAACUGGGCUCGCGUGUGUACUCACUUCAGGUACUGCUAUCGGCUACAACGCCCGGGCACUCCCAACAAAAGACUCCUUGACUUGAGGCAACUUCAAGCUAGUCUCUUCUUGAAAUG